RNAcentral lists this ribosomal RNA (713 nucleotides) under uncultured bacterium. Its description in RNAcentral is "bacterial SSU rRNA". It matches the Rfam family "Bacterial small subunit ribosomal RNA", at positions 8 to 765 of the family's 1533-position model. The record is from RNAcentral.
AGAGUUUGAUCCUGGCUCAGAGCGAACGCUGGCGGCAGGCUUAACACAUGCAAGUCGAGCGGGCGUAGCAAUACGUCAGCGGCAGACGGGUGAGUAACGCGUGGGAACAUACCUUUUGGUUCGGAACAACACAGGGAAACUUGUGCUAAUACCGGAUAAGCCCUUACGGGGAAAGAUUUAUCGCCGAAAGAUUGGCCCGCGUCUGAUUAGCUAGUUGGUGAGGUAACGGCUCACCAAGGCGACGAUCAGUAGCUGGUCUGAGAGGAUGAUCAGCCACAUUGGGACUGAGACACGGCCCAAACUCCUACGGGAGGCAGCAGUGGGGAAUAUUGGACAAUGGGCGCAAGCCUGAUCCAGCCAUGCCGCGUGAGUGAUGAAGGCCCUAGGGUUGUAAAGCUCUUUUGUGCGGGAAGAUAAUGACGGUACCGCAAGAAUAAGCCCCGGCUAACUUCGUGCCAGCAGCCGCGGUAAUACGAAGGGGGCUAGCGUUGCUCGGAAUCACUGGGCGUAAAGGGUGCGUAGGCGGGUCUUUAAGUCAGAGGUGAAAUCCUGGAGCUCAACUCCAGAACUGCCUUUGAUACUGAAGAUCUUGAGUUCGGGAGAGGUGAGUGGAACUGCGAGUGUAGAGGUGAAAUUCGUAGAUAUUCGCAAGAACACCAGUGGCGAAGGCGGCUCACUGGCCCGAUACUGACGCUGAGGCACGAAAGCGUGGU